UUGGAGGGCAAGUCUGGUGCCAGCAGCCGCGGUAAUUCCAGCUCCAAUAGCGUAUAUUAAAGUUGUUGCAGUUAAAAAGCUCGUAGUUGAAUUUCGGGGUCAGUAGGCUGGUCGUGCCACAGGUAUGUACUGGUCUUACUGAUUCCUCCCUCCUGAUGAACCGUAAUGCCAUUAAUUUGGUGUUGCGGGGAAUCUGGACUGUUACUUUGAAAAAAUUAGAGUGUUUAAAGCAGGCUAACGCUUGAAUACAUUAGCAUGGAAUAAUGAAAUAGGACGAUCGAUCCUAUUUUGUUGGUUUCUAGGAUUGACGUAAUGAUUAAUAGGGAUAGUUGGGGGCAUUAGUAUUCAAUUGUCAGAGGUGAAAUUCUUGGAUUUAUUGAAGACUAACUACUGCGAAAGCAUUUGCCAAGGAUGUUUUCAUUAAUCAAGAACGAAAGUUAGGGGAUCGAAGACGAUCAGAUACCGUCGUAGUCUUAACCAUAAACUAUGCCGACUAGGGAUCGGAUGAUGUUAAUUUUUUAAUGACUCAUUCGGCGCCUUACGGGAAA
This 548-nucleotide ribosomal RNA is filed under the name uncultured Glomeromycotina. RNAcentral's name for it is "SSU rRNA". It matches the Rfam family "Eukaryotic small subunit ribosomal RNA", at positions 548 to 1097 of the family's 1831-position model. Lineage: Eukaryota; Fungi; Glomeromycota. The record is from RNAcentral.